Molecule: long non-coding RNA, 4000 nt
Filed under: Coffea arabica (coffee)
Lineage: Eukaryota; Viridiplantae; Streptophyta; Magnoliopsida; Gentianales; Rubiaceae
Description: long non-coding RNA (CARA_LNC003948)
Source: RNAcentral
CAAGCCCACAGCUAGAACAUACACAAAUACCAGAGCUUGACAUUGAGGACGCAUUCCAUGAAGAUGAAGAUGCUGAUGAGAUUCCUACCAUUAAACUCAAUAUUGAGGAGUUGAAUCAGAAUCUGUUGAACUACAUUCAAAAGAAUGUUGUUUUAACUUCAGAGAGUGAAAUGUCAAAGGCAUUAGUGGUUUUAACUCCAGAAGCUGCUUCAAUCCCCACGACUAAACUUAAGAACAUAAGCCGAUUAAGGACAGAGCAUUACGUGUAAGUUCAUUCAAGCUUAGCUACAAACAUAUACCUGCAAUUCAUUAACUAAAGAGUAAAGACAUGUAUAGACUUGCAAAACAUGUACAAAGCACAACUUCUUGUCUUAAAAGAUGACAGUAUAAUGAAUAGCUGCUAGAUGCCUAACUAUCUACCAAUUUAACAGCUACGAGCUUCCUGAUGCGCAUCCACUGCUGAAAGGGGUUAGUGUUACAUCUGCUUCUCAUUUGACAUAUAGUUCCUGCCUACCAUGUGCAACUGAACUUUCUAACCAUCUUACUGUAUUAAAAUCCAGUUUGACCAACGAGAACCAGAUGAUCCAUCAUCAUACCUUCUCGCCAUAUGGACACCAGGUAAGCUAACAUGAUGAAAGUGAAACAACAGAAACCCUUAGCAGAGGGCUUGAAACAUGCUGAUCAAUGACUUUUUGAUGUAUAUUAUGGAAUGAAUAUAUGAAUCUUAUACCCGUGUGUGUGUCUACUCAUCAAUAGUUUUUUAAGUGUAAAUGGGAAAACCUCUCAAUAUCAGGUGAAACUAUAGACUCUAUUCAGCCACCAGAAAGAUCAUGCAGCUUCCAAGAAUCUGGCAAACUAUGUGAUCGGGAAACAUGCUUUUCGUGCAACAGCAUACGUGAAGCAAACUCCCAAACUGUUCGAGGCACACUACUGGUGAGGACGCAUCCUUUUUGUGCCUCUUACUUCAUAACAGUGUAAUUCCUAAUUUAUGAUGACCCCUGUGCACAGAUACCAUGUCGAACAGCUAUGAGGGGUAGCUUUCCGCUUAAUGGCACAUACUUCCAAGUUAAUGAGGUACACAAGUCCAGCAACAGUGAAAUCUUAUAGAUUCUAUGAACAAAAGCCUCAAAAGGAACUCACUAACUGCAGGUGUUUGCGGACCACGAAUCUAGCCUUAACCCAAUUGAUGUGCCAAGAAAUUGGUUGUGGAAUUUGCGUAGACGAACAGUUUACUUUGGAACAUCCAUACCUACCAUAUUUAAAGGUAAGUAAUAGUAGAGUUCAUUCAUCGUUUUAGUUAAUAACUAGUUCCUACUUCAUCCAAGGUAGUUCCUGGAGUACAUGACAUUUUUUGUUUUCUUGUUUAUUAGGACUGUCACAGGAGGAAAUUCAAUACUGCUUCUGGAGAGGUAACAAAAAAAAAAAAAGAAAUCAAACACUUUUUGCAGUUAAUUCAGCAGCUUCAUUUGAAUUUUGGUAACUAAUUUUGUAGCAUUACGUAGCAUGCACAAGGAAAUUACUUGCAAAAUUUAGUACAACUUUGUUUCUUCCGAAAUUAGAGGCUUGCUACUAGCUAUCAUAUCCUGAAAUGAGCAGUUCAAGCGAGGUUCAACAACAUAAUAGCAUCUUAUUUAAACACUUUGCUUCAUUUCUUAAAAGGUAACUUUAUCCUCUUAAACACAGUUCUCAUAUGUAUCGACUCCUAUUGACAGACAGAUUUUGGACUUCAAAUUCUACUAGUCCUUAUUUAUACAUCAUUAAGGUACUUAUUUAAUAAGGAAAGUUUAAUUCUUAGACCUGCUCAACAAAAAUGUAGUUUAGACUCGUAGGAAAGAAGUGCUUGGCGUGCAAAACCAACCUUGCUGCUAGAAGGCGGACAAGAGAAAACUAUCUAUGGUUGGGCCAGAAAGUACCAGACAUGAUAAAUGUCAUAUUUUGUAAAGAAAAUUCUGGUCUUGCUAGCUGUGAUUCUCAUUCAUUGACCAAUGUGUAUUAACAGGAUCAAUAUGAUGCCCUCAAUCAAGGAAACAAUCCACAAAGUAUGGAACCAUACGACAAUGAAUGUGUUAGAAGACCAAAAUACAUAAUUUCACAACCUAUUUCCUUUAGAAAUAGUCCAUCUUAGAAAGUAUAAUGCGUUUCUAGCAUGCUAUCCCUAUUGGCAACGGUUAUAUCGCUUCCUUUUCCAGUUGCUUAAUGUAACCUCUGUGUUUGCUAGGGUUCGUGUGCUUAAGGGGAUUUGACAGGAAGACACGAGCGCCUCGACCACUUGUUGCUAGACUACACUUCCCAGCCAGCAAGUUGACUAAGAAAAGAGGAAGGACAGAUGAAAGUUAAGGCAUUGAUCCCUCACCAUUGCUGCAUUCUAUAAUAUUUGGUGACAUGGCACCAAACUAGAGGGCUUGGAUUUUGACAGAAGUAAACAAUAGUCAGCAAGUUUUGUAUAAAGGCAAUCACAAGGGAUUCGGCAUGUUUUAGCAUAAUGUGAUCGUUAAACUUUUGUUGUAUAGAGUCAAUUAACUUAAUGGAAAAGAGGCCGGUCAGCGAAAUUAGGUCAUGUUUCUUUAAAUUACUACCUCGUUUCUUUAUAAUUGUCGUUUAUUCCUUUUUGGAAAAUUGUCUCAAAUUUUGUUGGAUAUGGGAUGGCAUUUUAAAAGGGUGGUAAGACCAAUAGAUCUCCAGAAACGCUACAUGAUUUGGAAGCUUUUUAUGGAUAGUUUUGCUGGGAGUAUUAGAUUGAAUUUUCAGCAGCAAUGAGGAAUACAGAUGAAAAGAUGAGCUUAGUUUGGUCGGGUCUGAUUAGCAAACCCCAGCGCCAAGCUGGCAGAAGUAUAUCGCCAGAUAACGCUUCGGAAACUGACAGGACUAUCAAAUUUCUAAUUGUUGUUGUCAGUUCUAAAAAUAGAGAUUGUUGCGCACUUUGACAUGUUUUCUCCCAAUGAAAAUAAUUAGAUAUGCAGCCGUUUAACAACCCUAAAUUCUCAAGUCUUGACAGGUAUGGAACGGAUUCAGACACUUGCCCUUUUAUUUCCACAACAAGCGAUGAAUAGUUAGUUGCAAUUAAGUGGAAGCAAAAUCAAAACAAAAUCGUUGGACGAAAGUAAGAUCAGAGACUGAUUCAGUUGAAGGAACAAAAAAGGAGUUAAUCAGCUCUGGAACAAACUGUCGGGUAAUCUAUCCAGCUAAGCCCCGUGAAACCUUAGCAAAUGCAAGAAACAAACCAGACGGAAAGUGGAGUAAAAAGAGGCCAAAAAGUUAGUAUGCGUAUUGAGGGUAAACUGAGGAUAGAGAGAGCAAAAGAGGAAAAGUUUCUCAGAGAUCCCCUCCACCGACCAAAAUUCAAUGACUGCUACCAUGACCGGACAUAUACUACUCAAAACAGGGAUAGGCGGUCCUCACGUUUUAGACUUGAAUAUAAUUUAACUCACAAGACAGGAGUAGCGAAAGGAGGAGAAAAAUGAGCGAAGUAUGUAAAUAGGGAGAGUUAAAGACACUUACCAAGCAGCUCUUUCGCCUUUUUGUUGGGAAUCUGGGAAGAAACCAGGAAGUUUCUGCAGCUUCAAGAUGAACUGAGGUGCCCAGAUAUGCCUACGGAGGCCCAGAUAAAAACUGCAAAAGAAAAAAGGCGGUCACAGAUCUUAUGGCAGUAGAACUCGGAUAGAAGUGCCCCAACAAAAAAUUUGCAAUUACGACUUUCAAUCCCCAACCGAAUUCGAUCCCAAACACAAACUUCUAAAACAUACACAAACAUGCGAACGACUUCUCGAUUCCGAUCUAAGUUCAGAACUGAUAUGACGGAUGAAAUGAAAGCUUGAAUACUUAAAUCUAAUCGAUUCAAACCAAAAUAACAACAGAUUCAGAGGUCCGUAGACUAUACGUAUACAGAUGCAUGACUAACCCGUUUGAGCGGAGGCUGGAAUGGUUGUGGUGAACAGUAUCGAGGCCUGAAAUGAUGACUUUGAGAGAUCUAGGCUUGUUUGCUUUGCUGGGUGCAAUUUGG